This 25-nucleotide ribosomal RNA is filed under the name Beauveria scarabaeidicola. Its description in RNAcentral is "partial 28S ribosomal RNA". The record is from RNAcentral. Lineage: Eukaryota; Fungi; Ascomycota; Sordariomycetes; Hypocreales; Cordycipitaceae.
GACCUCGAAUCAGGUAGGACUACCU